GCUGAGUUGGGUGGAGAAGCAGCAUGCUCUCCUUCCUCCAAAUGAAGGCAAGGGGUACACGGCUUUCAUCUUCGCGGAAGAUGUCAUAAAAGCACAUUUCAAAAAUUACCAUUGGCACCCAGUUUCCUAUUUGAUUAUGUUCUGGCACAAAGCCCUGCCAGCAAUACAGAGCCUCUAUUUGGGCCUCUCCAAUUGGAAGAUAAUCGCAUAUCCCACCUACCUUUCAACACUCCCAACCCCCACAAGGCAGCCAUCUUGGAAGCCACAAGGAAUAAUUCAAGUGAUGUAAGAAAGACGGUGAUUUCCAUUUUAGUUUACCUCGGGCAAACUCAUCUCGGGCGCCCCUUGAAACAGCGACACCCAGAGCACCGGGAGUCAGAAGCACCAGAUACCAAUUACAAGCUGGGAACUAAAUACCAUAAUUAACGAGAGAUACACUUUCAUCUAAAAGGAGUCCAAAAUGUUGCUGGAGAAAGAAAAAAGUCAAGUGAAACUCCAUAAUUAUAAUAAAUUGUGCCGUUUCCCCC
Molecule: long non-coding RNA, 527 nt
Filed under: Mus musculus (house mouse)
Lineage: Eukaryota; Metazoa; Chordata; Mammalia; Rodentia; Muridae
Description: RIKEN cDNA 2010110G14 gene
Source: RNAcentral